Molecule: ribosomal RNA, 331 nt
Filed under: uncultured bacterium
Lineage: Bacteria
Description: bacterial SSU rRNA
Rfam family: Bacterial small subunit ribosomal RNA
Source: RNAcentral
CGCGUAGGCGGGAUGGCAAGUCGGUCGUGAAAUCCUUCGGCUCAACCGAAGAACGUCGGCCGAUACUGCCGUUCUUGAGGGAUGCAGAGGAGACUGGAAUUCCCGGUGUAGCGGUGAAAUGUGUAGAGAUCGGGAGGAACACCGGUGGCGAAGGCGGGUCUCUGGGCAUCUCCUGACGCUGAGGCGCGAAAGCGUGGGGAGCAAACGGGAUUAGAUACCCUGGUAGUCCACGCUGUAAACGAUGGGUACUAGGUGUUCGGGGUGUUGACCCCCUGAGUGCCGACGCUAACGCAUUAAGUACCCCGCCUGGGGACUACGGCCGCAAGGUUAA